RNAcentral lists this long non-coding RNA (4896 nucleotides) under Microcebus murinus (gray mouse lemur). RNAcentral describes it as "lncRNA (ENSMICG00000048330.1)". The record is from RNAcentral. Lineage: Eukaryota; Metazoa; Chordata; Mammalia; Primates; Cheirogaleidae.
GCCGAGCGCUGGGCUGAGGAGCAGAGAGAGCGGGGCGCGGAGUGCGGGCGGCUGGGAGCGCGCUGAGCGGGGGAGAGGCGCUGCCGCACGGCCGGCCACAGGACCACCUCCCCGGAGAAUAGGGCCUCUUUAUGGCAUGUGGCUGGUAACUUUCCUCCUGCUCCUGGACUCUUUACACAAAGCCCGCCCUGAAGAUGUCGGCACCAGCCUCUACUUUGUAAAUGACUCGUUGCAGCAGGUGACAUUUUCCAGCUCCGUGGGGGUGGUGGUGCCCUGCCCGGCCGCCGGCUCCCCCAGCGCAGCCCUUCGAUGGUACCUGGCCACGGGGGACGACAUCUACGACGUGCCGCACAUCCGGCACGUCCACGCCAACGGGACGCUGCAGCUCUACCCCUUCUCCCCCUCCGCCUUCAAUAGCUUUAUCCACGACAAUGACUACUUCUGCACCGCGGAGAACGCUGCCGGCAAGAUCCGGAGCCCCAACAUCCGCGUCAAAGCAGUUUUCAGGGAACCCUACACCGUCCGGGUGGAGGAUCAAAGGUCAAUGCGUGGAAACGUGGCCGUCUUCAAGUGCCUCAUCCCCUCUUCAGUGCAGGAAUACGUUAGCGUUGUGUCUUGGGAGAAAGACACAGUCUCCAUCAUCCCAGGUAAGGAAGAACCACGGGGCGGCGGCCGACAGCGGUGAUGGGCAGCGGGUGGGCAAGGUGGCGGUGCCUGAGCUGGUUGUUGAGCUAAACAAGACCCUGAGAUUGGUUCUGGUGAGUGACUUGUUAUUGUUCCGGUGAUACUUCGGCCAAAAAAGCGUCUUGGGUCUCGGUCUGGCGCAUCUCGGUGGGGUGGUGAAGGCCUCCGUGAGUGGCCUGGGCUGGCUGUGUGAAGGUCCCGUUGGACUCGGGGUGCGGCAGGGGCCCCGUCCUUCCUGACUGCUGGGGUUUGGCUGGCCCUGGCCCUGGCGGACGAGAGGCUGGGCUGUGGCCCGUGUUUCUGCAUUCGGAGCGCUGAGCACUGGCUCCUUGGGGACCAGCCUUGUGCUAAAAAGCACAUGGGGCUUUUUCCUUUCCUUUCCUUGUCCUUUGUGCACGAGUUGGCUAAAGACUCUAUCAGAAUUCUAGCCAGCAGCAUCCGGAGGCUGACGUGGAGAGACGGGUGUAAAACCAUGGUGGAGGUUGGUCUCAUUACAGCUGCCGCGAUUGUGAGUUCUUCGUUGUUGGUUCCUUUUGCCUCUUCACGGUUGUCCCUCCAACAGGAAAACAGGUCUGGAAACCCCAAGAGAGGACCUCAAGUCCUUAAAAUACCUCUAGGCCUCCGACGAGUUACAGCUACAAAACUCUGGGGUUUUUCCACCACGGCUCCCUCAUCCCCACGCAUUGCAGAGGUUCUGUCGCUUUGUUCCUUCCUUUCUCUGGCAAGGACCUUUGUUUUCCUUUCUGUGAAAUGGGGGAACUUGACCAGGUGCCCUCUGAGUGCCCCUCAGCACUGAGGUCGCGUGGCUGGUGGUAUGAAAUGACCGUUGUCCUCAAGGUGUGGGGGUUAGUCGGGGGACGCAUGGAGCCUUGAAAGCAGGGGUUCUUGGCCUGCGACUCAUUCGAAUCCCUGAAUGAUUCGAAAUACCAAUGCUCGGGCCCAGCCUCAAGUCAGCGGAUUCAGAAUCCCUCAGGAGCAGAACCUGGGCAUCAGUGUCUCCAGUGCUCCCCCCGUGGUUCCGAUGUAUAACUAGGACAAGAACCAACGCCUGGGCGUGUUGACAGCUCACAUGGCGGGGGCCUUUCUUUGAGAUGUUACUUUGUGUUUUGCUUUCGGUACUUUUUCCUUCUCUCAGUUCCAGGCAGAUGGCCAGGCCGUUAUAUAUCCUGGCUCCAGAGCGUGUAGUGGGACAGGAAUCCAAAGCUACUUGAAGACAGCUGCUCUUCCUGUCUGUUGUAAAACCACAGGCUAAUAGGAGAGGUUGGGAAGGGUGUCUUGCCUGGGGAGCGGGGCCUCUGAGGGGAAGGAGCUACAGGAGACAAAAGGAUGGCAGAGGUGGGUGGUGCUGUGGGCUGCUCGGAGGGCACAGCGGAAGAAGCGGUUGGACCCCACAAGGGUGGCGUGUGGGACCCGUAGGGACUGAGGGCCAGGGGUCUUGUGUCCGAAUGAAGCACGGGGUGCACUGCCAAGGCCCAGAGGGACCAUGCAGGUGGGGAUCAGGGGCUGCUGGGAACCAGAGAGGCCCUGGACCUUAGCACACCCCUGAGGGAAACCCUAAUAGUGAUGGACACAGUCUCCUGGCUAUCUAGAAAAGUCAGAUUGAAGGUAAUUUAAACAACAGCAAGAAAUGUGGUAUUUCUUGUACACUUGAGUUUAUGGACUAAGCAUUAUAUCCAUGAAAAUAGUAAUUGCUGUUAUGUUAAAAUUUGGGGGGUGCUGACUAUAUGUCAGGCACUAGGCUAAGAAACAUUCAUAUGCGAUCUCACUUUAUCAUCGCAAAAAGUCCCUAAGUACGUUUCCAUCCUCCACUUUACAAACGAGGAAACUGAGGCUCAAAGUAAAGUAAUUUGUUCUGGGUCACAGGUCUCUUACGCAGAGGGUGGGGGCUUGAACCCAGGCAAUGAGGACUUUGGCCUCAGGAAGGUGGAAAAAAAUCAAUGUUUGUUGAUUGUUUUAGGGACGUCUUCACGAAACCACGUCCAGUGUUGUGAUUAAAAGCCUAGAAUGUUGGACAAGAGACCGCCUGGGUUUGAAACUCACUCCAUUGCUCUCUGGCUGGGCAAGUUAUUUACACUCUCAGUUUCUCCAACUGUAAAAUGGAUUCAUAGGGUUUGAGUGAGGAUGAAAUGAGUUAAUAUGUGAGCAAUGUUUACAAACGCUAUCGGACACACACUGAGGCCAGGUUGUAGCAAUUGCUAGGUGGAAGACAUCAUACUCCUCUUUGUACUUGCUGUCCCUUGUUGUGGGGUCUGUGUUUCUACUGUGUAACAGAGUCUGUGACCCUCACAAGACCUCGGGGUGGGAACUGGGUUAUCUUCCCAAGGGUAGGAACUGGGUUAUCUUCAUCCACCCAGCCCUGGCUCCUUCUGCACUCCAGAUAAAUGUUCACUGAACGAUCAGUGAGUGGAUGAAUGGCCGGCUGGAAGAAUUCCGAAGGAAUCUGGGAACAGCAUGGGCAGGGGCAUUGAAAUCAGGCUGGGCAGGUCGGGGUGGGUGGGACUAGCAGAUGGGUUAGGAGAGGAGGAAGGAUAGCAGGCUCCUGUGCUUAGGAGCUGGAGGCUGUGAGCUUCCCCCAGGCGGCCCUUGGAGUUGGGGCUUCAGGGCUGUCUUUGAUGUGGAGACUGGGCUGGUGGCCCCAAAGGGCAUAAUUAUCAGGGAAGUGGCCUUGAUGCUAAUCUUCAGGCUGUGUUAAACUUUGGUUCUGUAGAACCCUUUUCUUUCCUUUGGCCUUGGAGAAUUUUCCUCUUCUGCCCAGCCCUCCAGCCCCAUCGGUAAUCAUUCUAGAUUCUUCUAUAGCUACAUGUUAGAUCCAGGGACAGUCUUCCCAAAGCACGCGAUUCCAACUAACAUGCUCCCAGAGGAAUCGAUGAGAGCCAGAGAGAGUGGAGUUUUGCUUCCUCUAGGCUUUGUAGGUGAGAGACCAGAACUUGGGCCCACAUGCUACAUGCUUUAAUUUUGGAAAAUGCAAAUAGUUUGAUCUUUUAUAAAAAUAGGAUUUUUUUCCCUGCUAUCCAUAUUCACACUAUACCCAGUGUGUGUGCUCGUGUGUGUGUGCUCGUGUGUGUGUGUGUAUUUUGAGGUGGGGAGGCUGUAUGGACGGCAGCUUCUCACAGUGGGGGCGGAUUUAAUGAUCAGUUGCCCUGAAGGUUAAGGAAGGAUGGAGGAGCCAGAGUUACUUCCCUCUGACACUUCAGGGUCUCCUUCUGGAACACGGGGGACUGUGUUGACUUUGAUCUCUGGGACAGUAGGGCUGGGCUCAAAUUAUUCCCAAACCACAGGGCCUGCAACAGCGGGUUGCUGGAAAGCAGGAAGAGGGACAGGGAGACUGACAUGGGCCAUCCCGGCCCCAGGAGGUCCCCCCUUGGAGAAAGCAGGUGCCCUGGGAGGAGGGGGCCCCUGCAAGGGUGCAGGCCCCUGCGAAUGGGAACCAGCCCACCUACACCUUUUUCUCAGGGAGUCUGGGAAGAAUUAAAGGCUUGGGACCCAAGAAAGGUCCGAGCGUUGGGUAUUUGCUCACAGGUUAGCCUUCCCGGCACUGUGGCUGUCCUGGAACUGGUGGAAUCUCCAAGCAGCUUUUUGGCAAUGCUUUUCCCAGGGUAGGGAGAGGCUGGAGAGACAGCCCGAAGUGCCACCUUUCUCAGAGCCACCAGCUAUACCCACCUCCGCUCACCUCCUCCACCUUCCCCCCUCAAGCUGGUCAUCUUCCUUCAAUCGGGCUAUUUAAACAAAUGCGUGUGAAGAACGGAGCCUCUCACCUGGGGUCUGGCAGGCUCCCAUCCCCAGUCGUCUCCUCCGGGACUUGGUCCUGGGGUGAACUGGCUCUCAAGGCAGGCAGGGGGUGGGGCGGGUGAGAGGGCCCAGGGCUGUGCACAAACACAAAUUAAAAUUAGGGCCUCCAGUGAAGCCGAGAUGCGGCUUAAUUUCCCAUCUGCAUGAUCACCAUUACAAUGCAUGUUACUGGAUAUAAAGAUAAAUCCGGCCCUGUUCCUAAUAGCUUUUAAUUUCCACCAGACCUGAUUAUAUCGAUGCGGGCUCCUUGUGGGAGUUUCCCAGCAUGCUCUUCCCCAGCAUCCUGACUGGCUGUCUUGGGGAGUUUUGGACGCUGCUCAGAUGCAAGUCAGAUGAGUCCACUGCUGCUCCGGAAGACGAGCCUGCAGCAGCCCCCUGUCCACGCGCACGGGGCUCUUGGAUGCUGGGUGUCAUCGGGCCUUG